GAUGAACGCUGGCGGCGUGCUUAACACAUGCAAGUCGAGCGAUGAAGUUUCCUUCGGGAAACGGAUUAGCGGCGGACGGGUGAGUAACACGUGGGUAACCUGCCUCAUAGAGUGGAAUAGCCUUCCGAAAGGAAGAUUAAUACCGCAUAACGUUGAAAGAUGGCAUCAUCAUUCAACCAAAGGAGCAAUCCGCUAUGAGAUGGACCCGCGGCGCAUUAGCUAGUUGGUGGGGUAACGGCCUACCAAGGCGACGAUGCGUAGCCGACCUGAGAGGGUGAUCGGCCACAUUGGGACUGAGACACGGCCCAGACUCCUACGGGAGGCAGCAGUGGGGAAUAUUGCACAAUGGGGGAAACCCUGAUGCAGCAACGCCGCGUGAGUGAUGAAGGUUUUCGGAUCGUAAAGCUCUGUCUUUGGGGAAGAUAAUGACGGUACCCAAGGAGGAAGCCACGGCUAACUACGUG
Molecule: ribosomal RNA, 464 nt
Filed under: uncultured organism
Description: bacterial SSU rRNA
Rfam family: Bacterial small subunit ribosomal RNA
Source: RNAcentral